GAGACUCUGUGCGCGUGCAUAUCAAUAAGCGGAGGAAAAGAAACUAACUAGGAUUCCCUCAGUAACGGCGAGUGAAGCGGGAAGAGCUCAAAUUUGAAAUCUUCAAGGUUUUACCUUGACGAAUUGUAGUUUAAAGAAGUGUUUUCUGUUGAAGUUUUGGUAAAAGUUCUUUGGAAUAGGAACAUCAUAGAGGGUGAGAAUCCCGUAUUUGACCAUUAUUUCAACUGUGUGAUACACUUUCAAAGAGUCGGAUUGUUUGGGAAUGCAGUCCAAAAUGGGUGGUAAAUUUCAUCUAAAGCUAAAUAUUGGCGAGAGACCGAUAGCGAACAAGUACCGUGAGGGAAAGAUGAAAAGAACUUUGAAAAGAGAGUUAAACAGUACGUGAAAUUGUCAAAAGGGAAGCGUUCGACACCAGUGUUGUUUAGUUCCGAAAAUCAAUUCACUAAUUUUUGAUUUUGAGUAGUUAUGACUUCAUCAGCUUGCUGCCUUUCUUUACAGAAACUUUCUUGAAUGCACUUUUCAGUUAACAAGUCAACAUCAAUUUCUUUUGUUGUAAAAGGGUAUGAGGAAGGUGGCUUUCUUCUCGGAGAAAGUGUUUAUAGCCUUGUGCCUCUGCAAUCGGAGAGAUUGAGGUCUGCAGCGUAGAUCCUUCGGGGUUAGAUACAUUUGUGCUAAGUUAUAGCUUUUCAUAGACAACUUGUUGACUAUGUUUAGUCUUGUAGCUUACUCGCUUACGCUAUUUUACCUACGCUUAGGAUGUUGAGUCGUAGAGCACGCA
This 778-nucleotide ribosomal RNA is filed under the name uncultured Neocallimastigales. Its description in RNAcentral is "partial large subunit ribosomal RNA". It matches the Rfam family "Eukaryotic large subunit ribosomal RNA", at positions 23 to 629 of the family's 3401-position model. The record is from RNAcentral. Lineage: Eukaryota; Fungi; Neocallimastigomycota; Neocallimastigomycetes; Neocallimastigales.